This 395-nucleotide ribosomal RNA is filed under the name uncultured bacterium. Its description in RNAcentral is "bacterial SSU rRNA". It matches the Rfam family "Bacterial small subunit ribosomal RNA", at positions 109 to 518 of the family's 1533-position model. The record is from RNAcentral.
AGUAACGACGUGGGUAACCGUAGCCGCAUGCAGGGGACGAACAGUUGGAGACGACUGCUAAUACCGCAUAAGCGCACGGGACCGCAUGGUCCAGUGUGAAAAGAUUUAUCGGCAUGCGAUGGACCCGCGUCCGAUUAGCCAGUUGGCGGGGUAACGGCCCACCCAAAGCUACGAUCGGUAGCCGGCCUGAGAGGGUGAACGGCCACAUUGGGACUGAGACACGGCCCAAACUCCUACGGGAGGCAGCAGUGGGGAAUAUUGCACAAUGGGGGAAACCCUGAUGCAGCGACGCCGCGUGAGUGAUGAAGUAUUUCGGUACGUAAAGCUCUAUCAGCAGGAAAGAAAAUGACGGUACCUGACUAAGAAGCCCCGGCUAACUACGUGCCAGCCGCGGC